ACCUUAUCCUGCGGGUCGACGAUUCCUACGGGAGGCAGCAGCAGGGAAUAUUGCACAAUGGGCGCAAGCCUGAUGCAGCGACGCCGCGUGAGGGAUGAAGGCCUUCGGGUUGUAAACCUCUUUCAGGAGGGACGAAGCGCAAGUGACGGUACCUCCAGAAGAAGCCCCGGCCAACUACGUGCCAGCAGCCGCGGUAAUACGUAGGGGGCGAGCGUUGUCCGGAUUCAUUGGGCGUAAAGAGCUCGUAGGCGGCUCAGUAAGUCGGCCGUGAAAGCCCAGGGCUCAACCCUGGGAGGCCGGUCGAUACUGCUGUGGCUAGGGUCCGGUAGAGGAGAGUGGAAUUCCCGGUGUAGCGGUGAAAUGCGCAGAUAUCGGGAGGAACACCAGUAGCGAAGGCGGCUCUCUGGGCCGGUACCGACGCUGAGGAGCGAAAGCUAGGGGAGCAAACAGGAUUAGAUACCCUGGUAGUCCUAGCCGUAAACGUUGGGCACUAGGUGUGGCGGAUUCAUUGACGUCUGCCGUGCCGGCGCUAACGCAUUAAGUGCCCCGCCUGGGGAGUACGGUCGCAAGGCUAAAACUCAAAGGAAUUGACGG
Molecule: ribosomal RNA, 594 nt
Filed under: uncultured Actinomycetes bacterium
Lineage: Bacteria; Bacillati; Actinomycetota; Actinomycetes
Description: bacterial SSU rRNA
Rfam family: Bacterial small subunit ribosomal RNA
Source: RNAcentral